Molecule: ribosomal RNA, 540 nt
Filed under: uncultured Gallionellaceae bacterium
Lineage: Bacteria; Pseudomonadati; Pseudomonadota; Betaproteobacteria; Nitrosomonadales; Gallionellaceae
Description: bacterial SSU rRNA
Rfam family: Bacterial small subunit ribosomal RNA
Source: RNAcentral
AGUGGGGAUAACGUAGCGAAAGUUACGCUAAUACCGCAUAUGCCCUGAGGGGGAAAGGAGGGGAUCGCAAGACCUUUCGCUUUCGGAGUGGCCGAUAUCGGAUUAGCUAGUUGGUGGGGUAAAGGCCUACCAAGGCGACGAUCCGUAGCUGGUCUGAGAGGACGACCAGCCACACUGGGACUGAGACACGGCCCAGACUCCUACGGGAGGCAGCAGUGGGGAAUUUUGGACAAUGGGCGCAAGCCUGAUCCAGCCAUGCCGCGUGAGUGAAGAAGGCCUUCGGGUUGUAAAGCUCUUUCGGACAGAAAGAAAUCGCACGGGCUAAUACCCUGUGUGGAUGACGGUACUGUAAGAAGAAGCACCGGCUAACUACGUGCCAGCAGCCGCGGUAAUACGUAGGGUGCGAGCGUUAAUCGGAAUUACUGGGCGUAAAGCGUGCGCAGGCGGUUUUGUAAGACAGGUGUGAAAUCCCCGGGCUUAACCUGGGAACUGCACUUGUGACUGCAAGACUAGAGUGCGGCAGAGGGGGGUAGAAUUCCA